RNAcentral lists this ribosomal RNA (807 nucleotides) under Glutamicibacter protophormiae. RNAcentral describes it as "bacterial SSU rRNA". It matches the Rfam family "Bacterial small subunit ribosomal RNA", at positions 73 to 892 of the family's 1533-position model. Lineage: Bacteria; Bacillati; Actinomycetota; Actinomycetes; Micrococcales; Micrococcaceae. The record is from RNAcentral.
GCCCAGCUUGCUGGGUGGAUUAGUGGCGAACGGGUGAGUAACACGUGAGUAACCUGCCCCUGACUCUGGGAUAAGCCCGGGAAACUGGGUCUAAUACCGGAUAUGACCAUGGGACGCAUGUCUUGUGGUGGAAAGAUUUAUCGGUUGGGGAUGGACUCGCGGCCUAUCAGCUUGUUGGUGAGGUAAUGGCUCACCAAGGCGACGACGGGUAGCCGGCCUGAGAGGGUGACCGGCCACACUGGGACUGAGACACGGCCCAGACUCCUACGGGAGGCAGCAGUGGGGAAUAUUGCACAAUGGGCGCAAGCCUGAUGCAGCGACGCCGCGUGAGGGAUGACGGCCUUCGGGUUGUAAACCUCUUUCAGUAGGGAAGAAGCGAGAGUGACGGUACCUGCAGAAGAAGCGCCGGCUAACUACGUGCCAGCAGCCGCGGUAAUACGUAGGGCGCAAGCGUUAUCCGGAUUUAUUGGGCGUAAAGAGCUCGUAGGCGGUUUGUCGCGUCUGCCGUGAAAGUCCGAGGCUCAACCUCGGAUCUGCGGUGGGUACGGGCAGACUAGAGUGAUGUAGGGGAGACUGGAAUUCCUGGUGUAGCGGUGAAAUGCGCAGAUAUCAGGAGGAACACCGAUGGCGAAGGCAGGUCUCUGGGCAUUUACUGACGCUGAGGAGCGAAAGCAUGGGGAGCGAACAGGAUUAGAUACCCUGGUAGUCCAUGCCGUAAACGUUGGGCACUAGGUGUGGGGGACAUUCCACGUUUUCCGCGCCGUAGCUAACGCAUUAAGUGCCCCGCCUGGGGAGUACGGCCGCAGG